This 65-nucleotide ribosomal RNA is filed under the name Olea europaea subsp. europaea. RNAcentral describes it as "SSU_rRNA_bacteria". Lineage: Eukaryota; Viridiplantae; Streptophyta; Magnoliopsida; Lamiales; Oleaceae. The record is from RNAcentral.
AGAGAAUUUCCGAUGGAGCGGUGAAAUGCGUAGAAAUCGGAAAGAACACCAGCGGUGAAAGCACU